UACAGAGGUGCCAGCGUUGUUCGGAUUCACUGGCGUAAAGGGUGCGUAGGCGGUUGGGUAAGUCUGAUGUGAAAUCUCACACUUAACUGUGAACUGCAUUGGAUACUAUCCGGCUAGAGGAAUGGAGGGAGAUGGAAUACGUUGGUGUAGCAGUGAAUGCGUAGAUAAUCAAGAUGGAACACCAGUGGCGAAGGCGAGUCUCUG
This 204-nucleotide ribosomal RNA is filed under the name uncultured bacterium. Its description in RNAcentral is "partial 16S ribosomal RNA". It matches the Rfam family "Bacterial small subunit ribosomal RNA", at positions 524 to 731 of the family's 1533-position model. The record is from RNAcentral.